CUGCUUCCUUAUUCUCCCUCUUGGAUCUCUUGCACUGUGAGGAGACAGCUACCACAUCAUGAGGAACUUACCCAGCACCAUAAAGACCUGUGAGGGAGGGAGCUUAGCCUCAUCAACUGUCAUAUGAAUCUGGAAGCACUGGUUGUGAAGAUACACAUUUACUUCUCUGGUUAUACGAAAGAACAGAAAUACAGAAAGAAACCAAAAUACAGUUGGGCUUUCUGAAGAAUAACUUUCUGUGAUGCAAUCUGCAGAAGCUGAAGUGGCUGCCUCUUCCUCACCCCACCCCACCCCACCCCUGCCAAUACCUGCAGAUGCCAAAGGACAGUCGAGUUUGUGCACACACUUGCAAUGCUUCAGAGCCGUUCUACCUUGUCUGCCCCAUAGUGAUGGACUAACAUUUCUGAAACCAUGAGCCAGAAUCAGCCCUUUGACUCUGCUGUUGGGCAUUUUGUUACAGCGAUGAGAAAAGCUGACCGGUAUGAUGAAGAAAAAAAAUUAAGAUGGAAACAAUAACAAACUGAGAACAUGUAAAGGAUGUGAGAGCUGGAGGAGGGGAGGGUAGAACUGAAACCCACCACUAUUCAAAGUUCAAAACUGUGUGGUCAUACCUGUCAGUGUCUCCUUAGUCUCCUGGGAUAUCAACCAUUCUUAUUCUUUUAUCUCUACAACCUAGAACUAAUGCAUGUCCUACUGGCGCCUCCCAGUUUCUCUUCACGGACAUACCUGGGCAGCUGCACCUAACAUGACUUCCUUGGGCUUUCUCCACCCGCUACAGCCCUGUGCACAGACUCACUGAAGGGAUACACUUUUCUCCAAGGCUUAUUCUGUUUUCUACAAAGGUUCUUCUGAAGACCAAGUUAUUCAUCCAUCAAAUAUUUAUGUAGAGGAUUGGCAGGCGGUGCUUGCAGAUAAACAGAUUAAAUUCUUUAUCUGAAGACUUUGACUUCUAGAUCUGGGGACAGAAUGUAACAAGGGGGUGGAACAAAACACAGACAGGAACAGUGUAUAUAGAUUGGCAGAGUUAAGAAAUGUGGGGUGUUUACCCACCAACCCCACAGUUCCCCAGAGUUUUCUUGAGUGUGAGCAGCAGGAAAUAUUAGAUAGAAGGAUUUAUUGCGGAGAAUAUUGCAGAGAUAAACAGAAAAUAAAGGAUAGCCUCAAGAGGGCCUGGAACCUUUUCCAACGGGCCAACUGUCUCUGCCCCAGGGUUUUUAUAGAGAUGCCAAGGGGUGGAGCAAAUGACCUCCUCCCCCAGCACAGCCAAGUGCAGACCAUCUCAGACACCUGCACUCAGGCCCGUGGUCCUAAUCAUCCUCUAUGCGGACCUGCUGGGUAAAGCCACGAGGAACCCAAAAACGGGCUCCCACAAAGAAAGCUGUCCCGAGCUCUUCCGCUGGAAGCUGAAGGUUCAGAAGGAUCCUAGUGGAUGGAAGAACGUUUCGGGUUAAAUCAACUAGGUAAAAAAUGCAAGCAUUCUUGAAGAUGAGGAAAUAAUUCAGAGAUGGUGUGUGGAAUGGAUGUAGGAUAUAAAUGGUAAAAGAUUAGAUAGAUAGAAAGCAGGUCAGUACCUU
Long non-coding RNA from Peromyscus eremicus (cactus mouse), 1574 nucleotides. RefSeq lists it as uncharacterized. The transcript is spliced from 3 exons. The record is from RefSeq and is a predicted model, not a curated record. Lineage: Eukaryota; Metazoa; Chordata; Mammalia; Rodentia; Cricetidae.